This 461-nucleotide ribosomal RNA is filed under the name uncultured bacterium. RNAcentral describes it as "partial 16S ribosomal RNA". It matches the Rfam family "Bacterial small subunit ribosomal RNA", at positions 338 to 795 of the family's 1533-position model. The record is from RNAcentral.
CCUACGGGUGGGCAGCAGUGAGGAAUAUUGGUCAAUGGGCGGAAGCCUGAACCAGCCAAGUCGCGUGAGGGAAUAAGUCCCUACGGGUCGUAAACCUCUUUUUCCGGGGAGCAAGGGCGGGGACGUUUCCCGGCCCGGAGAGUACCCGGAGCAAAAGCAUCGGCUAACUCCGUGCCAGCAGCCGCGGUAAUACGGGGGAUGCGAGCGUUAUCCGGAUUUUUUGGGUUUAAAGGGUGCGUAGGCGGGCUUUUAAGUCAGCGGUAAAAAUUCGGGGCUCAACCCCGUCCGGCCGUUGAAACUGGGGGCCGGGAGUGGGCGAGAAGAAGGCGGAAUGCGUGGUGUAGCGGUGAAAUGCAGAGAUAGCACGAAGAACCCCGAUGGCGAAGGCAGCCUGCCGGCGCCCUACUGACGCGGAGGCACGAAAGUGCGGGGAUCGAACAGGAUUAGAUACCCUGGUAGUC